This 1779-nucleotide long non-coding RNA is filed under the name Chloebia gouldiae (Gouldian finch). RNAcentral describes it as "Erythrura gouldiae (Gouldian finch) lncRNA (ENSEGOG00005018620.1)". The record is from RNAcentral. Lineage: Eukaryota; Metazoa; Chordata; Aves; Passeriformes; Passeridae.
AAUCCCAAAGAAAUUCCACCAAAAUUCCCAAAAACCAACCUGAAAUACCCAAAUCCCACCCAAAUCCCACAAAUCCCAUCGAAAUUCCCAAAAUCCCCCAUAUCCCAAAAUCCUGGAGCUCCGCCCCGGAUCCCAAAAAUCCCCAAAUCCCGGAGCUCCGCCCACGGAUCCCAAAAAUCCCCAAAUCCCGGAGCUCCGCCCACGGAUCCCAAAAAUCCCCAAAUCCCCCAAAUCCCCAAAUCCCGGAGCUCCGCCCCCGGCUUCGUUGGGAUUCGGGCUGGGAUCCCCAAAAUCUGUCGGGAUUUGGGCCGGGAUCCGUCGGGAUCAUUCGGGAUCCCCCAGGAUCCGCCGGGAUUUGGGUCGAGAUCCAUUGGGAUCCGCCCGGAUCCGUUGGGAUCAGGCAGGAUCUGUUGGAAUUUGGGAUCGGAUCCGUUGGGAUUUGGGCCGGGAUCCAUCGGGAUCCACCGGGAUUUGGGCCAGGAUCCGUUGGGAUCGGUCGAGAUCUGUUGGAAUUCUGGCCGGCAUCCAUUGGGAUCCACCAGGAUCUGUCGUAAUUUGGGCCGGGAUCCCCAGGAUCGAUCACAAUCCGGGUCGGGAUCGGUUGGAAUUUGGGUCGGGAUCCGCUGGGAUUUGGGUAGGGGGGUCAGCCAGGAUCGUUUGGGAUCCUUGGGAUCGGCCGGGAUCGGUUUGGAUCCCCGGGAUCGGUGGAGAUCUGUUGGAAUUUGGGUUGGGAUUGGCCGGGAUUUGGGCUGGGAUCAGUUGGGAUCCGUCGGAAUUUGGGUCGGGAUCUGUCGGAUUUUGGGCGGGGAUCCCCGGGAUCGGCCAGGACCCGUCGGGAUUCGGUUCGGGAUCCGUCAGGAUUUGGGCCGGGAUCCGUCGGAAUUUGGGCCGGGAUUUGUCGGAUUUUGGGUCGGGAUCCGUCAGGAUUUGGAUCGGGAUCCGUCGGGAUUUGGGUCGGGAUCUGUUGGAAUUCAGCUCGGGAUCCGUCGGGAUCGGCCGGGAUCCGUCGGGAUUUGGGCCGGGAUCCGUCGGGAUCCGUUGGAAUUUGGGUCCGGAUUGGCCGGGAUUGGUCAGGAUCAGCCGGGAUCCGUUGGAAUUCGGCUCGGGAUCCGUCGGGAUCGGCCGGGAUCCAUCGGAAUUUGGGUCGGGAUCCGUUGGAAUUCAGUUUGGGAUCCGUCGGGACGGGCGGCGCCGGUACCUGCUGGCCUCCUCCCCUCGGUAAUAAUCGGCCGCCUGCUCGUAGUGCGCCACGGCCUGGGGGGAGCCGGAAAUCCGGGAUCAGAGCCCCAAAUCCCGGGAAAAUCCCGGGGAAAUCCCGGGAAAAUCCCAGAAAAAAAAUCCGGGAAAAUCCCAAAAAAUCCCCCGGAAAAUCCCCCCAAACACCGGGAGAAACCGGAUCCACCCCGGGGAAAGAUCCCGGGAAAAUCCUGGAGAAAAUCCCAGAAAAAAAUCUGGGAAAAUCCCAGAAAAAAAUCUGGGAAAAUGCCAAAAAUUCCCCCCCAAAUCCCUCCAAACACCUGGGAGAAACCGGAUCCAUCCCAGGGAAAGCCUGGAAAAAUCCCAGGAAAAUCCUGGGGAAAAUCCUGGAAAAAUCCCAGAAAAAUCCAGAGAAAAAUCCCAGAAAAAUCCCAGGAAAAUCCUGGGAAAAUUCCAGGAAAAUCCCAGAAAAAAAAUCCGGAAAAAUCCAAAAAAAUCCCCCGGAAAAUCCCCCAAAACACCCGGGAGAAACCGGAUCCAUCCUGGGGAAAGCCUGGAAAAAUCCCAGGAAAAUCCCAAUAA